UCUUAAGCCAUGCGAGUCGAAUGUAGCAAUACAUGGCGAACUGCUCAGUAACACGUGGACAACCUGCCCUUAGGUUGGGUAUAAACCCGGGAAACUGGGUAUAAUACCCGAUAGGUCUCGAUUGCUGGAAUGCAUCGAGAUUUAAAGCUCCGGCGCCUAAGGAUGGGUCUGCGGCCUAUCAGGUAGUAGUGGGUGUAGCGUACCUACUAGCCUACGACGGGUACGGGUUGUGAGAGCAAGAGCCCGGAGAUGGAUUCUGAGACACGAAUCCAGGCCCUACGGGGUGCAGCAGGCGCGAAAACUUUACAAUGCUGGCAACAGCGAUAAGGGAACCUCGAGUGCCAGGUUACAAAUCUGGCUGUCGAGAUGCCUAAAAAGCAUUUCAUAGCAAGGGCCGGGCAAGACCGGUGCCAGCCGCCGCGGUAACACCGGCGGCUCGAGUGGUAACCGUUAUUAUUGGGUCUAAAGGGUCUGUAGCCGGCCGGAUAAGUCUCUUGAGAAAUCUGGCAGCUUAACUGUCAGGCUUUCAGGAGAUACUGUCUGGCUCGAGGCCGGGAGAGGUGAGAGGUACUUCAGGGGUAGGGGUGAAAUCUUGUAAUCCUUGAAGGACCACCAGUGGCGAAGGCGUCUCACCAGAACGGACCUGACGGCAAGGGACGAAAGCUAGGGGCACGAACCGGAUUAGAUACCCGGGUAGUCCUAGCCGUAAACGAUACUCGCUAGGUGUCGGCCACGGUGCGACCGUUGUCGGUGCCGUAGGGAAGCCGUGAAGCGAGCCACCUGGGAAGUACGGCCGCAAGGCUGAAACUUAAAGGAAUUGGCGGGGGAGCACCACAACGGGUGGAGCUUGCGGUUUAAUUGGAUUCAACGCCGGAAAUCUUACCGGGACCGACAGCAAUAUGAAGGCCAGGCUGAAGACUUUGCCGGAUUAGCUGAGAGGUGGUGCAUGGCCGUCGUCAGUCGUACUGA
RNAcentral lists this ribosomal RNA (969 nucleotides) under uncultured Methanosarcinales archaeon. RNAcentral's name for it is "bacterial SSU rRNA". It matches the Rfam family "Archaeal small subunit ribosomal RNA", at positions 42 to 1017 of the family's 1478-position model. The record is from RNAcentral. Lineage: Archaea; Methanobacteriati; Methanobacteriota; Methanomicrobia; Methanosarcinales.